UACAGUUCAGAUCUUACAGUGAUGCC
Molecule: non-coding RNA, 26 nt
Filed under: Mus musculus (house mouse)
Lineage: Eukaryota; Metazoa; Chordata; Mammalia; Rodentia; Muridae
Source: RNAcentral